Molecule: ribosomal RNA, 406 nt
Filed under: uncultured bacterium
Lineage: Bacteria
Description: partial 16S ribosomal RNA
Rfam family: Bacterial small subunit ribosomal RNA
Source: RNAcentral
AUUGAACGCUGGCGGCAGGCCUAACACAUGCAAGUCGAACGAGUGGCGGACGGGUGAGUAAUGUCUGGGAAACUGCCUGAUGGAGGGGGAUAACUCCUGGAAACGGUAGCCAAUACCGCAUACCAUCGGAUGUGCCCAGAAGGGAUUAGCUAGUAGGUGGGGUAAAGGCGAACCUAGGCAACAAUCCCUAGCUGGUCUGUGAGGAGUACCGGCCACACUGGAACUGAGACACGGACCAGACUCCUACGGGAGGCAGCAGUAGGGAAUAUUGCACAAUGGGCGGAAGCCUGAUGCAGCCAUGCCGCGUGUAUGAAGAAGGCCUUCGGAUUGUAAAGUACUUUCAGCGGGGAGGCGUUACCCGCAGAGGAAGCCCCGGCUAACUCCGUGCCAGCAGCCGCGGUAAUAC